UACAACUUUCAACAACGGAUCUCUUGGCUCUCGCAUCGAUGAAGAACGCAGCGAAAUGCGAUAAGUAAUGUGAAUUGCAGAUUUCAGUGAAUCAUCGAAUCUUUGAACGCACCUUGCACCCUGUGGUAUUCCACAGGGUAUGCCCGUUUGAGUAUCAUU
RNAcentral lists this ribosomal RNA (159 nucleotides) under uncultured Stephanospora. RNAcentral's name for it is "5.8S ribosomal RNA". It matches the Rfam family "5.8S ribosomal RNA". Rfam says of the family: 5.8S ribosomal RNA (5.8S rRNA) is a component of the large subunit of the eukaryotic ribosome. It is transcribed by RNA polymerase I as part of the 45S precursor that also contains 18S and 28S rRNA. Lineage: Eukaryota; Fungi; Basidiomycota; Agaricomycetes; Agaricales; Stephanosporaceae. The record is from RNAcentral.